AAGUCGUAACAAGGUUUCCGUAGCGUAAGAUGCUGGAAUUGAUCUUUCCGUAGACACUUAUAGAAGCCUCUGCACUCCUGCAUAUUUGGAGAAAGUCCCGCGACUGUAAAAAAUUGGUUUGACUCCUGCAAGUCGAUGUAUCGGCGACACAACUAAAUUACCGGGGAACUUCAGCAGUCUACUGUAGGUGCUGGGUGAUCCGUAACGCUGUAUUACAGCGCUCACAGACUAAAUGGUUGUGGGUUCAAUAUUAUCUAUUGGGCUUAAGAUAUAGUCGGGCCUUGUAAGCAACUACAAGGCGUGCUACAGCGCACAUAUUACUGUUCCGUAGGUGAACCUGCGGAAGGAUCAUUAAAGGAAUACCGGGUCUUACAGCCCUAUUCUCACCCUUUGUAUACCAAACUUUGUUGCUUUGGCAGUCCCUUCAGGGCCUGCCAGAGGACUGAAACCCUAGAAUCUCUGCUGUCUGAGUACUAUAUAAUAGUUAGAA
Molecule: unclassified non-coding RNA, 490 nt
Filed under: plant metagenome
Description: partial contains small subunit ribosomal RNA and internal transcribed spacer 1
Rfam family: Group I catalytic intron (bases 74-298)
Source: RNAcentral